UAAAGACCUAGAUCUCCCGACCAGGGCUAAAUUUUUGAACUUUUUCGAGCUAUCCAAGGAUUAACUGCAGCCAUAGGACAAAAUCAAGCCAACCCUUGUCUACCUCCUGCUCCCAAAUUUUGAAACACCAAGAGAUCCAUUUUCCACGAUAUGGCAGAGUUUAGGAAACUCAACUCACCACAUUUUGAAGGAUGCCCUAAUCCCUUAGUAGCUGAAGCCUGGAUCCUACAGAUAGAGAAACUUUUCUUUGUCCUAGACCUGACCGAGGAACAGAAAGUUCCCCUUGCAGCCUUCAUGCUAAGUGGCAAAGUAGAACACUAGUCGUGACUUAAAAAGGAGUCCUGCCUACCCGUACCACUUGGGAAGUUUUCAUGGAUGCAUUCUUUGAUAACUUCUUCCUU
RNAcentral lists this long non-coding RNA (401 nucleotides) under Carica papaya (papaya). RNAcentral describes it as "long non-coding RNA (CPAP_LNC013247)". The record is from RNAcentral. Lineage: Eukaryota; Viridiplantae; Streptophyta; Magnoliopsida; Brassicales; Caricaceae.